GGAGCACACCAUUUUCUUUGCGAUCAUCAACACUAACAUUGUUCUUUAUAACAUGGACGUCGUAAACGUUAAGUAAAACAAAACCUAUUAUUGUAUUUUUAAAUAUCCUAUAAUAUGUUAACAUAACACCUUUAAACUAUUUGUUUUACUAAAACAAAAGCUUAAUUUUUAGGAGUUCGGGAGAACAGCACAACACCCUUUUUAGACACGGGCGCUUUUACAGCUGGAACGAGUUCUCUAACAGGCACAAGGUGUGUACAGAGUUAUGGGAUUUUUAAACGUGUGUAUGUUUUAAACGCACAAUUGUUUUAAAUUAUGUAAUAACAGCGUUUUCUUUGAUUUGUUCCAGGCUUAGCAAACUAUGCAGGUAAACAUUCAGACACCGUGACCACAGAGCCCAACCUUACAACAGGUGUGUAUACAACAGGGUGUAUAGUUGUGUAUUUAAAAAAAAAAAAAAAGAAAAAAAAAGGGGUUUAAACAAUUACAAAUGUUCUAAGACCGACCGUUUUACACAUACAGAGCUACGCCAGAGAACCGUGUGUGGAGAAGCAGGACCAUCCGGAAUAACGCACACUACAAGACAGCAGAACAGUACCCCUCCUCAUGAUGAUCAGGACGCCGAACGAUCCCUGACGUUUUUGGAAUGUUUAAGCAGUAUCGACCUCCCAGAACAACAAAAACCUGGAGCUUUGUGCAACAGUGGAGAGUCAGAACCGAUCAUCAUCACAGGACCUGCAACACCUCCGAACAUAUCGGAUCUGGAUAAUUAUGUUUUUCCGAGAUCACCAAGUUCUUCACCACCGGUUUUAGAGCGAGUUACAGGCAAGAACAUCCGUCUCUCGACCCGCGACAGAAACAAGUUGCUUUCUGCGCGUGCUCGCCCAGCUUCAUCCACCCCCGCCGGCGCUUCAGCUCCCCCGCGGCCCUCGGGGGAAAAACCUCCAUCUGACCGCCCGGGACAGGCAAGAACUGUUCGCCGCACAUGCUCCCAGUGUCCCCGCCGGCGCUUCUCCUCCUCCUCCUGCACCAAGACAUCCCCAGCCCCUGCCUCUGAGAUCUAAUCGAGGGCAUCUCAGAAGCAGGAACAGGAGGAUCAUUACGAGGAGAACAAGGCAAACACGUAGACCACGAGACCGGCUUGCUUCCAUCGCUCUCCGGGCAGUAUUGUUGUUCGCUGAAUUAGUUGAGCUCAUCUUAUAAGGUUUUUUGUUUUUAAUAUAUUCUUUGUUAAACAAUUAAAAAAAAAAGAAAAAAAAAAAAAAAAAAAAAAAAAAAAAAAAAAAAAAAAAGGGACAACCAGGAACAAGAUAUUCCAGACCCAUUUCUUGCUUUAGAAAUAGUUAGCCCGGUUAAAUGAAAACACCCAUCAUUCACACAAUACACCUCCGCAAAAUCAUGAACAACCUGAUGUGAUCAAUAAUAAUAAUAAUAAUAAUAAUAAUAAUAAUAAUAAUAAUAAUAAUAAUAAUAAUAAUAAUCCAUUAGAAUUGAUUGAUUUAGCUCUUGCACAACUAGCCCAUAGUGAAAGUGCCCCGCAGAAUUUAGGAGUUGAGCAUGUUGAGGCUCAUUCUCAACAAAACAUUUCCUCGUCUGACCCUUUCGCAGCUCUUAAUCGCGCAUUAGAAUCAUUAGCGCAAAUACAGCAUGAGGUUCAAAUACCUCCAGAGUUAUUGAGCCAAAUAAACAGGUUGAACGAAAAUAAUUUUAAUGAUAGCCAGCAUUCGAUCUGCUCUCCCCCAGGCGGUCACUCUGUUAACCACACUCCACCCCCACCGUUGUUAAGCGGUUUCAACGAUAGUCCGCAUUUGCUCAGUUCUCCCCCAGCAAACAAUGGUGGGUCUGUGCUAGACAGCCCCAACAACAGCAAUAGUUACACCCUUUCACACAAACUCUGUAAUGUUGGGGUCUACCCUGUGAAGUUGUGUUCAAUCUGAAAAAGGGGAAAUCUCAAAGUGAGACAGAUGUGUGCCAACUCUGCGUGAGCUGAUUGUUCAGAGUGAGCGAUAAAAACAGUUUAAAAUUGAGAUAGCUCUACCCUUUAUUGGGCAAAAAGUGUCCUCAUUAGUAGAGGCAAGACCACAAAUAAUGAAAUAAAAGAACGGACUUCAGAUACAUUUUUAGUCUCAGUUAGUCCUUCCCCUGGCUUUGUUAGUUACGCAGAUGGUAGUUCUUAAAAUAGUAAAUGAACAAGAACCGCAGUGUCACUGGGAGGUGUGCAUCAUCUGUGAUCCAGGUCGCAUGUGGGGUGAUUAGGAACCAGUGACACCAGCGAGUUGAGGCCUUCUGAUACUCCUUAGAUUUGCCACAUUCUCAACUGCCACCUCAAUAUGCAGGUGGAGAGUCUGGCUUAUGAGCUACUAAAUUUUAAAGUCAG
This is a long non-coding RNA of Oreochromis niloticus (Nile tilapia), 2377 nucleotides long. The record is from Ensembl. NCBI's taxonomy places the organism in Eukaryota, Metazoa, Chordata, Actinopteri, Cichliformes, Cichlidae.